This 21-nucleotide non-coding RNA is filed under the name synthetic construct. The record is from RNAcentral.
ACCUACUGGGCAGGGAGCCGC